Molecule: ribosomal RNA, 468 nt
Filed under: uncultured bacterium
Lineage: Bacteria
Description: partial 16S ribosomal RNA
Rfam family: Bacterial small subunit ribosomal RNA
Source: RNAcentral
GACGAACGCUGGCGGCAUGCUUAACACAUGCAAGUCGAACGGAAAGGCCCUGCUUUUGUGGGGUGCUCGAGUGGCGAACGGGGGGGGAACCCGGGGAUAACCUGCCCUUGACUUUGGGAUAAAUUCAGGAAACUGGGGCUAAUACCGGAUAGGUGCUCCUGCUGCAUGGUGGGGGUUGGAAAGUUUCGGCGGUUGGGGAUGGACUCGCGGCGUAUCAGCUUGUUGGUGGGGUAGUGGCUUACCAAGGCUUUGACGGGUAGCCGGCCUGAGAGGGUGACCGGCAACAUUGGGACUGAGAUACGGCACAGACUCCUACGGGAGGCAGCAGUGGGGAAUAUUGUACAAUGGGCGGAAGCCGGAUGCAGCAAAGCCGCGUGCGGGAUGACGGCCUUCGGGUUGUAAACCGCUUUCGCCUGUGACGAAGCGUGAGUGACGGUAAUGGGUAAAGAAGCACCGGCUAACUACGUG